GACGAACGCUGGCGGCGUGCUUAACACAUGCAAGUCGAACGAUGAAGCUGGAGCUUGCUCCGGUGGAUUAGUGGCGAACGGGUGAGUAACACGUGAGAAAUCUGCCCUUGACUCUGGGAUAACUGCGGGAAACUGUAGCUAAUACCGGAUACGAGGCUCGAAGGCAUCUUCGGGUCUGGAAAGAAUUUCGGUCAAGGAUGAGCUCGCGGCCUAUCAGCUUGUUGGUGAGGUAAUGGCUCACCAAGGCGACGACGGGUAGCCGGCCUGAGAGGGUGACCGGCCACACUGGGACUGAGACACGGCCCAGACUCCUACGGGAGGCAGCAGUAGGGAAUAUUGCACAAUGGGCGAAAGCCUGAUGCAGCAACGCCGCGUGAGGGAUGAAGGCCUUCGGGUUGUAAACCUCUUUUAGCGGGGAAGAAGCGAAAGUGACGGUACCUGCAGAAAAAGCACCGGCUAACUACGUGCCAGCAGCCGCGGUAA
RNAcentral lists this ribosomal RNA (483 nucleotides) under uncultured bacterium. RNAcentral's name for it is "partial 16S ribosomal RNA". It matches the Rfam family "Bacterial small subunit ribosomal RNA", at positions 28 to 523 of the family's 1533-position model. The record is from RNAcentral.